Molecule: long non-coding RNA, 1472 nt
Organism: Pan troglodytes (chimpanzee)
Lineage: Eukaryota; Metazoa; Chordata; Mammalia; Primates; Hominidae
Exons: 8
Source: RefSeq, a predicted model, not a curated record
AGUCUCACUUCCUCCCUCGGCUGAGCUGCAGGAGACUCAGAGAUGGCCUUGGCCUCACCCAGCUGUGCUGUCCCCACACAGCCGGCUGCUUUGACAUUUAAAGGACUAGUCCGAUCCUGCUGGGUCGCAUUCUUGAGCAACUCCGGCGCUGUGGCCCUGCACUUUCUGGAGGACUGAGUGUUUUACUCAGCCUUCACCUAUGAGGAGCCCGUGAGACCCAGGCAUGGAGCCCUUUGUGCCUCAGCCAGCCAAGCCCAGAUCCAGCCACGUGGACGUGUGCUGACAGCACCGUCGAUGCAUGCACAGUCUCCACCAAGCUGGGACAAAGGCAGAGCCAUCAGUAGCCACGUCGGGGAGAACAGAAGGCAUUCUGGGAACGCGGUGCUCUCACAUCCUGCAAAGUACAGGCCUGCAGAGCAGAUGGCAGGGACUUCAAAAGCUAAGUCACCUUGAAAGAUAAUGGCACAAAGGGCGAUUGGGGGUGGGGUGGGUGGGAGGCUUUUGUACCCUUUUGCAACAAGGAAGCAGAAAAGACAAAAGCUAUUUGCCAGCCUGGUGCGGGAAUCAAUAGAAUAGAGAGAUGGUUCUGCUGCAAUUUCCAUCAAGGGUGGCCAAGCCUCCAGUCUUCUUGUCCAGAAGCAGCUGAGCCUUGACAACCUCUCCUCCCCUUCACCAUGCCCCGACUGAUCUCCUAAUGGAGCCCCACCCCUCGAGCCCCUGGGCCUGUGGAAGAGGUUUCAAAGGAGUGGCUGGAAGGCUUGGUGGAAUCGCUUAUUACGGCUCCUCUCCCGGCCCGCGGCUUGGUGGCUGAGCACGUCAUCAUCAUUGGCAGGCAGAGCAUUAUGGUUUGGAAGAAAUGGAAACGGCAUGGAAGUCCCAUGUGGGCAGAGCCUGCACACCAAAAUUGGAGGGCUGAGAGUCUUCUAGACUGCAAAGGGUUUGACUCAGCCCAAAGAGGACUCUGCCAGGAAGCUGUCAGGCACCUGAGGCCACCUGCCUCUCCUCCGCUUCAGGAAUAACCAUCAGUACUGCAUCUUGGCUCUGAGGGGCACUGGGCAUCACGAUGCCCACUCAAAGCAGCUAGGGCACGUUGAUCUCUGCAUCUCCAUACAGAUGUCCGAGGAAAUGAUCCCAUAGCCUCAUCUCUGUUUCAGAGGCAGAGUCCACCAUAAUCUAGCCCAUUGCUCUCAACCAGACAGAGCGCACCUCCUGGCCACUAGGUAAGACAAUGCCCGGAGAGAAACUCCAUUGCUAGGGCAUUGGCAAAAGAUUUGCAGACCCUGACACCUGACUCAACCUUGCUCUCCUCCAAUCGGUGCCUCCGACUGCACCCACCCAAGAGAGUGAAGACCAAAGUGCUUCUACCAAGAGGAUUCCAGAAGAUGCAGGAUUUUUCCUAAGGCAGGAGAAAACCCUAGUUCAUAGACAGCCAGGAUAAAAACCCUGGAAGACCAUGAGCCAAGGUGAACGAA